Molecule: transfer RNA, 61 nt
Filed under: Heterocephalus glaber (naked mole-rat)
Lineage: Eukaryota; Metazoa; Chordata; Mammalia; Rodentia; Bathyergidae
Rfam family: tRNA
About the family: Transfer RNA (tRNA) molecules are approximately 80 nucleotides in length. Their secondary structure includes four short double-helical elements and three loops (D, anti-codon, and T loops).
Source: Rfam by way of RNAcentral
GGGGAUGUAGCUCAGUGGUAGAGCACAUGCAAGGUUCUUGGUUCAAUUCCCAGCAUCCCUA